AUUGAACGCUGGCGGCAUGCCUUACACAUGCAAGUCGAACGGCAGCACGGGAGCAAUCCUGGUGGCGAGUGGCAAACGGGUGAGUAAAGUAUCGGAACGUGCCCAGUCGUGGGGGAUAACGUAGCGAAAGUUACGCUAAUACCGCAUACGAUCUAUGGAUGAAAGCGGGGGAUCGCAAGACCUCGCGCGAUUGGAGCGGCCGAUAUCAGAUUAGGUAGUUGGUGGGGUAAAGGCUCACAAAGCCGACGAUCUGUAGCUGGUCUGAGAGGACGACCAGCCACACUGGGACUGAGACACGGCCCAGACUCCUACGGGAGGCAGCAGUGGGGAAUUUUGGACAAUGGGCGAAAGCCUGAUCCAGCCAUGCCGCGUGCAGGAUGAAGGCCUUCGGGUUGUAAACUGCUUUUGUACGGAACGAAAAGGUUUGGCCUAAUAAGCUGAGCUCAUGACGGUACCGUAAGAAUAAGCACCGGCUAACUACGUGCCAGCAGCCGCGGUAA
This 500-nucleotide ribosomal RNA is filed under the name uncultured bacterium. RNAcentral describes it as "partial 16S ribosomal RNA". It matches the Rfam family "Bacterial small subunit ribosomal RNA", at positions 30 to 523 of the family's 1533-position model. The record is from RNAcentral.